AGCAUAUCAAUAAGCGGAGGAAAAGAAACUAACAAGGAUUCCCCUAGUAACUGCGAGUGAAGCGGGAAAAGCUCAAAUUUAAAAUCUGGCAGUCUUUGGCUGUCCGAAUUGUAAUCUAGAGAAGUGUUAUCCGUGCUGGACCGUGUACAAGUCUCCUGGAAUGGAGCGUCAUAGAGGGUGAGAAUCCCGUCUUUGACACGGACUGCCAGUGCUUUGUGAUGCGCUCUCAAAGAGUCGAGUUGUUUGGGAAUGCAGCUCAAAAUGGGUGGUAAAUUCCAUCUAAAGCUAAAUAUUGGCGAGAGACCGAUAGCGAACAAGUACCGUGAGGGAAAGAUGAAAAGAACUUUGGAAAGAGAGUUAAACAGUACGUGAAAUUGCUGAAAGGGAAACGCUUGAAGUCAGUCGCGUUGGCCUGGAAUCAACCUUGCUUUUGCUGGGCGUACUUCCUGGUUAAUGGGUCAGCAUCAAUUUUGACCGUUGGAAAAAGCUCGAGGAAAUGUGGCAUCUUCGGAUGUGUUAUAGUCCUUGUUCGCAUACAACGGUUGGGAUUGAGGAACUCAGCACGCCGCAAGGCCGGGUCUUUGACCACGUACGUGCUUAGGAUGCUGGCAUAAUGGCUUUAAUCGACCCGUCUUGAAACACGGACCAAGGAGUCUAACAUGCCUGCGAGUGUUUGGGUGGAAAACCCGAGCGCGUAAUGAAAGUGAAAGUUGAGAUCCCUGUCGUGGGGAGCAUCGACGCCCGGACCUGACCUUUUGUGACGGCUCCGCGGUAGAGCAUGUAUGUUGGGACCCGAAAGAUGGUGAACUAUGCCUGAAUAGGGUGAAGCCAGAGGAAACUCUGGUGGAGGCUCGUAGCGAUUCUGACGUGCAAAUCGAUCGUCAAAUUUGGGUAUAGGGGCGAAAGACUAAUCGAACCAUCUAGUAGCUGGUUCCUGC
Molecule: ribosomal RNA, 938 nt
Filed under: Descolea gunnii
Lineage: Eukaryota; Fungi; Basidiomycota; Agaricomycetes; Agaricales; Bolbitiaceae
Description: LSU rRNA
Rfam family: Eukaryotic large subunit ribosomal RNA
Source: RNAcentral